AUUGAACGCUGGCGGCAGGCCUAACACAUGCAAGUCGAGCGAGCGGCGGACGGGUGAGUAAUGUAUGGGGAUCUGCCCGAUAGAAGGGGAUAACUACUGGAAACUGUAGCUAAUACCGCGUACCAUAGGAUGAGCCCAAGUGGGAGUAGGUAGUUGGUGAGGUAAAGGCUCACCAAGCCGACGAUCUCUAGCUGGUCUGAGAGGAUGACCAGCCACACUGGGACUGAGCCACGGCCCAGACUCCUACGGGAGGCAGCAGUGGGGAAUAGUGCGCAAUGGGGGCAACCCUGACGCAGCCAUGCCGCGUGAAUGAAGAAGACCUUCGGGUUGUAAAGUACUUUCAGCGAGGAGGCGUUACUCGCAGAAGAAGCACCGGCUAACUCCGUGCCAGCAGCCGCGGUAAUUC
This 406-nucleotide ribosomal RNA is filed under the name uncultured bacterium. RNAcentral describes it as "partial 16S ribosomal RNA". It matches the Rfam family "Bacterial small subunit ribosomal RNA", at positions 30 to 526 of the family's 1533-position model. The record is from RNAcentral.